RNAcentral lists this long non-coding RNA (558 nucleotides) under Sorghum bicolor (sorghum). RNAcentral describes it as "long non-coding RNA (SBIC_LNC016756)". Lineage: Eukaryota; Viridiplantae; Streptophyta; Magnoliopsida; Poales; Poaceae. The record is from RNAcentral.
UCUCGCCACCCACAGGCAACACCAUACAGUUCGGUCUUCUGUCCCGGGGGAAUUCCGCUGGCUGUGCAAACUCAGGUCGGUAAUUACACUCUGCCGAUGUACAACGAGCGAAAAACAGAUGCGGAAACCGUAGCAGAUCCACCUAGCAGGUUCGAACCUCAGUCAAAAGGCCAGGUGGUGGCUCGCAGUUGCCGGUAAAGCUUCAAGGACUCAAGGAAGCAGGAGAGUUUCCUCAUGAUGGACACCAUAGCAGAUCCACCUAGGCUCGAACCUCAGUCAAACGGCCAGGUUGUGGCUCCCAGUUGCCGGUAAGCUUCAAGGACCCAAGGAAACAGGACAGUUUCCUCAUGAUGGAAACCAUAGCAGAUCCACCUAGCAGGCUCGAACCUCAGUCAAACGGCCAGGUGGUGGCUCGCAGUUGCCGGUAAGCUUCAAGGACCCAAGGAAGCAGGAAAGUUUGCUCAUGAUGGGCUUGCGGCGAACCACUACUUGCACUUCAACAACGUCCUUCCCGUCAUCGGCGUAGGUCUCAUAGCCCUCUAGAUCUUCUUCGGUUAC